UACGAAGGGGGCUAGCGUUGCUCGGAAUCACUGGGCGUAAAGCGCACGUAGGCGGGUUGUUAAGUCAGGUGUGAAAUCCUGGAGCUCAACUCCAGAACUGCCUUUGAUACUGGCGAUCUCGAGUCCGGGAGAGGUGAGCGGAACUGCGAGUGUAGAGGUGAAAUUCGUAGAUAUUCGCAAGAACACCAGUGGCGAAGGCGGCCCACUGGCCCGGUACUGACGCUGAGGUGCGAAAGCGUGGGGAGCAAACAGG
RNAcentral lists this ribosomal RNA (253 nucleotides) under uncultured bacterium. Its description in RNAcentral is "partial 16S ribosomal RNA". It matches the Rfam family "Bacterial small subunit ribosomal RNA", at positions 524 to 776 of the family's 1533-position model. The record is from RNAcentral.